Molecule: long non-coding RNA, 258 nt
Filed under: Elaeis guineensis (African oil palm)
Lineage: Eukaryota; Viridiplantae; Streptophyta; Magnoliopsida; Arecales; Arecaceae
Description: long non-coding RNA (EGUI_LNC008948)
Source: RNAcentral
ACGAUAAUCGGUGAGUAUGGCUGGCAAUGACAACCAGUAGGAAAAGGUGAAAAUCAUAUCAAAAUAGGGCCAAAAAUCGAGGCCCCUUUUCUCAGUCAUUCUUAAGUACCAACCCACUUACUAGUGGUUGGGGCUCUGACAUAGACUAGAGAAUAGUGCAAGGAAGACACCAGAGGCCUUGGUGACAAUCAUCAACAGAGGAAAUGAUCGAAAAAGAAAAAAAUUGAAAAAUGAUCGGGAAAGAAAAAAAUUAACCAA